AACUUCGCAUCUCAUCCCAAUCUGCCAACUUAAAAUGCCAAACACGACGUCGACCAGUAGAUUGCGGCAAAGAAGUAUGCGUGAAAGGCACUUCGCUCCGUAUCAGACAAUGAUCAGAGGAUCCCAGUGAGACUUACUUACUACAGAAGCUAGAAAGCUAGUGUUGUUAAUAAAAUAUAAUUUCUAUAUUGAAAUGUUGAGUUGGUUAAAAAGUAAAUAUUUCCUCCGUCGACUUGAGCCUAAGAAUUUCAGCCCCUCAAAGAACUUAACGUUUUUUGUUGUAAGAUAUCUGCGCUAUUUUGGCAACAUUCGUGGAAAACUUGGCGCCGGCAGCAUCGCACCAUGGGACAAAAGGAUGAGGAACCUAUGGCGGAGAUCAGCCGUUAGUAAAAGUGGACGACUUACUUAUCCUAUACAUAAUUAAAAUAUUUUUACAAUUACGUAGAGAUAAUUUGAUGGCUCGGCAUGGAAGAUAGUAAUGGCAUUUGAAAACAAAUUAGGGAUUUUUUUAAUAUUGAUGUUUGUCUGUUUGUUAUGGAUAUCAGGGUACUUGCGAUAUGCAGUAUAUAAAGGACAUGGGUUAAAGCAGGUCAUCCGAUGCAACUGGUACCCCUCAAAAUGCCAAGUAUUACCAUUUAUCUAUAAUGACUAUUGUUUGGAACGUCUGGAUAAAAUCAAAAAAUGGCUAAAGCAUGAUGUUUUUAUUAGCCAAUUUGAAAUGAUAUUAGGGAUUCAGUCUUACAUGAUUAUUGCUAUGCUAUAUUAUGAUCUGUAUAAUGUACAUGAAAUAUAUCACCUUCCUAUUAUUAUUAUUCAAAUGUGUCUUUUAUUCAAAUGUGUCUUUUAUUCAAAUGUGUCUUUUAUUCAAAUGUGUCUUUUAUUCAAAUGUGUCUUUUAUUCAAAUGUGUCUUUUAUUCAAAUGUGUCUUUUAUUCAAAUGUGUCUUUUAUUCAAAUGUGUCUUUAUUCAAAUGUGUCUUUAUUCAAAUGUGUCUUUUUAUUCAGAUGUUUUUAUAUGCUACGCAAGCGUAAAUUGCAAAUGUACCAUAUAUUCAAAUGUUUUUAUUGUUAUUUACACUAUAUGCAACACACAACACUACAGAGAAUAUACAAAAAUAUAUAUUUUGUGGGCUAAUGCUGUAAUAAUAAGAUUGCAUAAACUUUCACACAUUCACAUAAGUACAAAGUAACAGAAUAGUAUGAUUCAUAUAACGGGCCGAAAGGUUCUGUAUGAACAAAUAUUAUUUGAUUGAACAAAGAACGCCUAUUUUAAAAAAAUAAUUAAGUCGAAAUGGAAACAGAGUGCUAUUUGAUUAGUCAAUUUAUGUGUGACAGUUUAUAUAUAAAUUACUGUGCCUCUAGCGAGAAAGACUACAAUUCCAGGUAUAGCUAUUACCUUUUUAAGGUUACUUGAAAUAAACAAACUUUUCUGUUUCUUUAAAAACAACAAAUAGUAGCAAUAACAAAUAUGUAAACGAAAAGUUUUAUCACUAGAGGCACAGGUUGUGGUGUUGGGAAUGGCUUACGUCAUUUCAGGGCUGCUUUUCCUCGUGGAUACGUCCACGUGGAACUCGGCAGUCAGGUAAUGACUUGGAUUGCACCAUGGGCACCGACUAAUGACAGCUCUUGAGAGUUGUUCUUACUUGGUUGGCUAAUAAUCGGACACGGGUAGGACGAGCCGCGAUCUUAGAAGGAAAGUUCGCUCCCUAAAUCUUCGACAAAAGUCGAUGCUUCUGGGUAUGUGAGGAAUCGCUGGCUUGCCCUGCUCGUUUGUUUUUCCUCUUGUUUUCUUCCUCUCCUUUUACUUUAUUUUGUUUCUUUUGAUGUGAGCUAUUCUUUCUCUGUUCUUUUGUCUUUUCUGUCUUUUUGUUUCCUUCGGUGUUGUGUUUUCUUUUUCCCUUCUUGAUGUAAAUGUGUUCGAGACCACACCCAAGAAAAAUGGAAGAAAGUGAAGAAAAAGGCGGAAGAAUUCAAGGAGAAAUCCAUUAUGGCCAAAUUAUGGGAGCUGAAAGAUUGACAUCGAGCAGGCGAAUGGUUCCGCCGACCUUCAGAUCAAUGGGAUAAGGCAAAUAAUAUUAUCACUUUAAUGAUACGAUGAAUGUUGCACGUUGGACAGAAUUACUCAUAUGUUUCUGUACCAGUUCAUUAUGUGGCUAUUUUAUUACUCCAGCUCAAAAACAUCUCACUUGCACACACACCACUCACAGUGAUACCACGCAUAUCAUCAUAGUUGUGAGGAGUAUUGCGUUACAUUUACUACAAGCACUUCACUGAAGGAAUGCAAAAC
Long non-coding RNA from Achroia grisella, 2285 nucleotides. RefSeq lists it as uncharacterized. Lineage: Eukaryota; Metazoa; Arthropoda; Insecta; Lepidoptera; Pyralidae. The record is from RefSeq and is a predicted model, not a curated record. The transcript has 3 exons.